GAAAGAAAAGAGGGUCAAUAGUAAAACAUGAUAUCCGAUUGCCACGACGAAGAUUAACCUGGCCACGCCGCACCGUACCACUCGCCUCGAUGGUUCUUCCUUUGAGCGUUUCGAGCGGCCCUUAAACGCUCGGCCCUUUGUGUGUCCGGGAACCAAUCAUACUUCCGAUUUAUCGUUGGUCCGUGAGCGAGAAUGACUAUUAUCGAAAUCUAUUUAGUUAAAGGAUUAUGUGAUGUCACGUAUCUGAUGAUAUAAAAUGAAUUUGUACUUGGUGCAAGUGAUAUACAGUGCCGUAAAUAAUUAGAAAAUUAAUCAGAAUAUCAAAAGAAAAAUUGACAGAGUCCUUUAUGUAACUUUAUAUUAUAACAUGAAAGAAAAUUGAAGAUACAACGGAGAAAAAUGUUGUUCUUUUACAUUUUCUUUUAGAAUUAUGUUUUUGGCUGUGAAGGAAUGUAGACUCAGUGUCAAUCUCGUUAACUUUUCAUUCAACAUUUAGUGGAUUUUACUUUAUUUUUUAUCGCUUCUGUUAACCUGUCAAGCGCACUAUCCACUAACUUUUGCUUUCAAUAUCAGCUAAGGCGGAUUUUAUUUUCUUUCUAAAUUCCGCCAUACUUUCUAUAGCUGGCUUCUCCUGAUCAUAAACUUUUCUUGUUGGAAUCACAGAUUCUCAGUCGGGUUUAGACGAGACUCAAAGCUGGCUAUGAUAAUAAUUCUAUUGUGAAACCUUGAAAAUACUUUUUUGUAAUAGGAGUAGUAUAAUGGCAGCAUGGUCUUCUUGAUAAAUUGUCUUUCUGUCUACCAUUUUAAAAAACAAUAUUUCGCUAUGUAACACCUUGUGCUAUUUUAUAGCGUUCAAAUUUCUCUUGAUAUAUGUAGGCAUGAUCAGUAGUUUCCUGGAAAUAUCGAAGAACUAAUAGAGAAACGGUGUUUGAGUUUAUAAUUAUUCACAGUACUGCAGUCGGUAAAUUGAAAUAUUAAGCAGACUCGUUUAACCAUUAAGAGCUGUCGUCAAUAGAAAUCACGUUGAUUCUAUCAGAGGCAAAAUUUCACCUUAAUAGAUUUAUAUUUUGUGCUUAAAAUAAAAAAAAAUAGAUGUAUUUAAUAUCAAAUAAAGAAUGGAAAAGUUAUUAUUUGCUGUAGCUACAAAUGACACUCCAAUCAUAUUAUAAUUUUAAUAUUGGGUUGGUAACUAAGUGAUUGCGGAUUUUGUCACUAGGUGGCAUUGACAAAAUCCGCAAUCACUUAGUUGCUAACCCAAUAUAAUGUAAUAACAAUCGAAAUAUAAAAAGGUAAACCACUUUUCAGAGUCUAAUGUAUUUUUAACAGAAAUUUUAAAUUACCUCAAACUACUUUCAUAAUCUUCUUUGACACUCUUACUCUUGCGCAAAGUAUAUUCUUAUUUACUAACUGUCUAUUGAACCUUGGAGUAUUAAUUUCGUUCAGUAACAAUACAAAAACUGGAUUUUGUAGAUCUCGGAAUUUUCUUUUGUAUCACGACUAUAUCUCAAAAUAUUAAAUUCACUAUUUUGGCAAAAUGAAUAUAUUGGGUUGGCAACUAAGUGAUUGCGGAUUUUGUCACUAGGUGGCAUUGACAAAAUCCGCAAUCACUUAGUUGCCAACCCAAUAUAAUGUAAUAACAAUCGAAAUAUAAAAAGGUAAACCACUUUUCAGAGUCUAAUGUAUUUUUAACAGAAAUUUUAAAUUACCUCAAACUACUUUCACAAUCUUCUUUGACACUCUUACUCUUGAGCAAAGUAUAUUCUUAUUUAUUAACUGUCUAUUGAACCUUGGAGUAUUAAUUUCGUUCAGUAACAAUACAAAAACUGGAUUUUGUAGAUCUCGGAAUUUUCUUUUGUAUCACGACUAUAUCUCAAAAUAUUAAAUUCACUAUUUUGGCAAAAUGAAUAUAUUGGGUUGGCAACUAAGUGAUUGCGGAUUUUGUCACUAGGUGGCAUUGACAAAAUCCGCAAUCACUUAGUUGCCAACCCAAUAUAACGUAAUAACAAUCGAAAUAUAAAAAGGUAAACCACUUUUCAGAGUCUAAUGUAUUUUUAACAGAAAUUUUUAAUUACCUCAAACUACUUUCAUAAUCUUCUUUGACACUCUUACUCUUGAGCAAAGUAUAUUCUUAUUUAUUAACUGUCUAUUGAACCUUGGAGUAUUAAUUUCGUUCAGUAACAAUACAAAAACUGGAUUUUGUAGAUCUCGGAAUUUUCUUUUGUAUCACGACUAUAUCUCAAAAUAUUAAAUUCACUAUUUUGGCAAAAUGAAUAUAUUGGGUUGGCAACUAAGUGAUUGCCGAUUUUGUCAAUGCCACCUAGUGACAAAAUCCGCAAUCACUUAGUUACCAAUCCAAUAUUAAAACAAAACUUGUAUAGAGUGGAAGUGGACGACCAAGGAGUGCAAAGUUUAUACUUUUACAAAGUUUAUAACUUUCAGGAACCAGCAUAAUACGAAGCCAGACCCGGCCCAUUGUCCUUCAGCAGGGCAGACAUGCAUUUAUGUAUGCAAUACUCGAGUUUCUGAGGCUUUCUAGUGCCUGCACGCCCUAAUACGCCGUUAUAAUUUAUAGCAGGCUGCUCUACGGUUUCGGAUACAUCAUCACUCCGCUCGGCUUGCGAUAUUGAUCAGCUGCAGAAUGAAUAAUCAUGGCCGAAUCGAUCAUCGUCUGCUUGUUCCUUACCGCACCGUAAAAACUUGACGAGCAUUAAUACUAGGAUUACCACACUAGUCAAAUUGACUGGUUUUACAAUUUUAUUUUCAAAUUCCUACUUCAUGUUAUACCUUUUUCCGCAAUAAUGUAAUGACUUUCGCAAUGAUAAUUAAAAAAAUAAUAUAAUGAA
This is a long non-coding RNA of Bombus huntii, 2843 nucleotides long. RefSeq lists it as uncharacterized. The transcript has 2 exons. The record is from RefSeq and is a predicted model, not a curated record. NCBI's taxonomy places the organism in Eukaryota, Metazoa, Arthropoda, Insecta, Hymenoptera, Apidae.